This 301-nucleotide ribosomal RNA is filed under the name uncultured bacterium. RNAcentral's name for it is "partial 16S ribosomal RNA". It matches the Rfam family "Bacterial small subunit ribosomal RNA", at positions 509 to 808 of the family's 1533-position model. The record is from RNAcentral.
CAGCAGCCGCGGUAAUACGUAUGUCACAAGCGUUAUCCGGAUUUAUUGGGCGUAAAGCGCGUCUAGGUGGUUAUGUAAGUCUGAUGUGAAAAUGCAGGGCUCAACUCUGUAUUGCGUUGGAAACUGUGUAACUAGAGUACUGGAGAGGUAAGCGGAACUACAAGUGUAGAGGUGAAAUUCGUAGAUAUUUGUAGGAAUGCCGAUGGGGAAGCCGGCUUACUGGACAGAUACUGACGCUGAAGCGCGAAAGCGUGGGUAGCAAACAGGAUUAGAUACCCCUGUAGUCCCUGUCUCUUAUACA